GCCAGUGAUAAAAUUCAACGGCCGCGGUACCCUAACCGUGCGAAGGUAGCAUAAUCACUUGUCCCCUAAAUAGGGACUAGAAUCAACGGCACCACGAAGGCUGCACUGUCUCUUUUCUCCAAUCAGUGAAACUGAUCUCCCCGUGAAAAAGCGGGAAUCAACUUAUAAGACGAGAAGACCCCAUGGAGCUUUAAGUAAAGUAUUCACCCAGACUCUACUAUACCAACUAAAUAUAGCAGCCUUGAUUACUAACCUUAGGUUGGGAGGACCGCGGAGCAAAACUAAACCUCCACAACAAAAAGGUAAUACCUUUAUCUACGAGUUACGACUCUAAGAAUAAAAACAUUUAAUGUCCAAUGACCCGACAAUUCGAUCAAACGAACCAGGUAACCCUGGGGAUAAACAGCACAAAUCUGCUUUAAGAGCCCAUAUCGGACAGGCAGGUUUAUGACCCUCGAUGUGGGAUCAGGGUGUCCCAGUGGUGCAGCCCGCUACUAUAGGGUUUGUUUGUUCAACAAUUAAAACCCUACGUGAUC
RNAcentral lists this ribosomal RNA (536 nucleotides) under Indosylvirana sreeni (Sreen's golden-backed frog). Its description in RNAcentral is "partial large subunit ribosomal RNA". It matches the Rfam family "Bacterial large subunit ribosomal RNA", at positions 1904 to 2605 of the family's 2925-position model. Lineage: Eukaryota; Metazoa; Chordata; Amphibia; Anura; Ranidae. The record is from RNAcentral.